CCUACGGGGUGCAGCAGUGGGGAAUAUUGGACAAUGGGCGAAAGCCUGAUCCAGCCAUGCCGCGUGUGUGAAGAAGGCCUUCGGGUUGUAAAGCACUUUCAGUGGGGAAGAAAGCCUUGGGGCUAAUACCCUCGAGGAAGGACAUCACCCACAGAAGAAGCACCGGCUAACUCCGUGCCAGCAGCCGCGGUAAUACGGAGGGUGCGAGGCGUUAAUCGGAAUUACUGGGCGUAAAGCGCGCGUAGGCGGUCUGAUAAGCCGGUUGUGAAAGCCCCGGGCUCAACCUGGGAACGGCAUCCGGAACUGUCAGGCUAGAGUGCAGGAGAGGAAGGUAGAAUUCCCGGUGUAGCGGUGAAAUGCGUAGAGAUCGGGAGGAAUACCAGUGGCGAAGGCGGCCUUCUGGACUGACACUGACGCUGAGGUGCGAAAGCGUGGGUAGCAAACAGGAUUAGAUACCCCUGUAGUC
This 466-nucleotide ribosomal RNA is filed under the name Vreelandella stevensii. Its description in RNAcentral is "partial 16S ribosomal RNA". It matches the Rfam family "Bacterial small subunit ribosomal RNA", at positions 338 to 795 of the family's 1533-position model. Lineage: Bacteria; Pseudomonadati; Pseudomonadota; Gammaproteobacteria; Oceanospirillales; Halomonadaceae. The record is from RNAcentral.